GACGAACGCUGGCGGCGUGCUUAACACAUGCAAGUCGAACGGAAAGGCCCUGCUUUUGUGGGGUGCUCGAGUGGCGAACGGGUGAGUAACACGUGUGUAACCUGCCCUUGACUUUGGGAUAACUUCAGGAAACUGGGGCUAAUACCGGAUAGGAGCUCCUGCUGCAUGGGGGGGGUUGGAAAGUUUCGGCGGUGUGGGCUGGACUAGCGGCUUAUCAGCUGGUUGGUGGGGUAGUGGCGUACCAAGGCUUUGACGGGUAGGCGGCCUGAGAGGGUGACCGGCCACAUUGGUCCUGAGAUACGGCCCAGACUCCUACGGGAGGCAGCAGUGGGGAAUAUUGCACAGUGGGCGGAAGCCUGAUGCAGCAACGCCGCGUGCGGGAUGACGGCCUUCGGGUUGUAAACCGCUUUCGCCUGUGACGAAGCGUGAGUGACGGUAAUGGGUAAAGAAGCACCGGCUAACUACGUG
This 468-nucleotide ribosomal RNA is filed under the name uncultured bacterium. RNAcentral describes it as "partial 16S ribosomal RNA". It matches the Rfam family "Bacterial small subunit ribosomal RNA", at positions 28 to 507 of the family's 1533-position model. The record is from RNAcentral.